This 433-nucleotide ribosomal RNA is filed under the name uncultured bacterium. RNAcentral's name for it is "partial 16S ribosomal RNA". It matches the Rfam family "Bacterial small subunit ribosomal RNA", at positions 29 to 507 of the family's 1533-position model. The record is from RNAcentral.
AACGAACGCUGGCGGCAGGCUUAACACAUGCAAGUCGAACGCACCUUUCGGGGUGAGUGGCAGACGGGUGAGUAACGCGUGGGAAUCUACCCUUCUCUACGGGAUAGCUCCGGGAAACUGGAAUUAAUACCGUAUACGUCCUGAGGGAGAAAGAUUUAUCGGGGAAGGAUGAGCCCGCGUUGGAUUAGCUAGUUGGUGGGGUAAAGGCCUACCAAGGCGACGAUCCAUAGCUGGUCUAAGAGGAUGAUCAGCCACAUUGGGACUGAGACACGGCCCAAACUCCUACGCGAGGCAGCAGUGGGGAAUAUUGGACAAUGGGCGCAAGCAUGAUCCAGCCAUGCCGCGUGAGUGAUGAAGGCCCUAGGGUUGUAAAGCUCUUUCAGAGGGGACGAUAAUGACGGUACCCACAGAAGAAGCCCCGGCUAACUUCGUG